GGCGGACGGGUGAGUAACGCGUAAGAACUUGCCCUUUAGACUGGGAUAACAGAGGGAAACUUCUGAUAAUACUGGAUAAGUUAGUAUAUCGCAUGAUAUGCAAAUGAAAGCUACGGCACUAAAGGAGAGCUUUGCGUCCUAUUAGCUAGUUGGUAAGGUAAGAGCUUACCAAGGCGAUGAUAGGUAGCCGGCCUGAGAGGGUGGACGGCCACAAGGGGACUGAGAUACGGCCCUUACUCCUACGGGAGGCAGCAGGA
This 257-nucleotide ribosomal RNA is filed under the name uncultured Leptotrichia sp. RNAcentral describes it as "partial 16S ribosomal RNA". It matches the Rfam family "Bacterial small subunit ribosomal RNA", at positions 97 to 354 of the family's 1533-position model. The record is from RNAcentral. Lineage: Bacteria; Fusobacteriati; Fusobacteriota; Fusobacteriia; Fusobacteriales; Leptotrichiaceae.